CGUUUCAAGCGGGCGCUGAAAAGGGAAAACGGUGCAAAACCGUUGCAGCCCCCGCUGCUGUGAGGCGGAUUGCAAACGCUCAUGCCACUGUGCUUCGCAUGGGAAGGCGCGUUUGUGAGAGGAAGCCGAGCCAGAAGACCUGCCUUUGAGA
This 151-nucleotide non-coding RNA is filed under the name pig gut metagenome. The record is from RNAcentral.